RNAcentral lists this long non-coding RNA (410 nucleotides) under Brassica napus (rape). RNAcentral's name for it is "long non-coding RNA (BNAP_LNC011884)". Lineage: Eukaryota; Viridiplantae; Streptophyta; Magnoliopsida; Brassicales; Brassicaceae. The record is from RNAcentral.
CGGGACUUUAAGGCAACCACCAUUAAGGUUUGAUUUAUGGAAGUCUUUCCAAUUUUGGUCAAUGAUCUUGCUAAUAUAAGCAGACUUUGACUAAGAGAGGAAAUUAGUAGAGAGAGAAGAUAUGAACUAAUGUUUACCUGCAGGUCCAGAUACUUGUUUGAAAGUCCUUGCAUCCUGUGAUCGGUACCCCCAAGGUAAAGCCUACACUUUUAUUUAUGCUAAAAAAUGAGCUUGGAAGAGGGGAAUGUCAGACAAAAUUUGCUAAGUUGUUGACUAGAUGAAUUUGGUUGCUAAGCUAGGAUAUGGUAAUGUGCUUUUGUGAUUAUGACUUUUUCGAUGUGGAUUGUAAUACUGUAGAGGUUAUGAUUCUAAGUUUUAAAUCAUGUGAGUCCCUGCUGUUUUAAAACCUC